AGCGAACGCUGGCGGCAGGCCUAACACAUGCAAGUCGAACGAACCUUUCGGGGUUAGUGGCGGACGGGUGAGUAACACGUGGGAACGUGCCUUUAGGUUCGGAAUAACUCAGGGAAACUUGUGCUAAUACCGAAUGUGCCCUUCGGGGGAAAGAUUUAUCGCAUGUAGAGCGGCCCGCGUCUGAUUAGCUAGUUGGUUGAGGUAAUGGCUCACCAAGGCGACGAUCAGUAGCUGGUCUGAGAGGAUGAUCAGCCACAUUGGGACUGAGACACGGCCCAAACUCCUACGGGAGGCAGCAGUGGGGAAUCUUGCGCAAUGGGCGAAAGCCUGACGCAGCCAUGCCGCGUGAAUGAUGAAGGUCUUAGGAUUGUAAAAUUCUUUCACCGGGGACGAUAAUGACGGUACCCGGAGAAGAAGCCCCGGCUAACUUCGUG
Molecule: ribosomal RNA, 434 nt
Filed under: uncultured bacterium
Lineage: Bacteria
Description: partial 16S ribosomal RNA
Rfam family: Bacterial small subunit ribosomal RNA
Source: RNAcentral